GGAGGGAUGCCGGAGUGGUCGAUCGGGGCGGUCUCGAAAACCGUUGUGCCUUCGGGCACCCAGGGUUCGAAUCCCUGUCCCUCCGCAA
RNAcentral lists this transfer RNA (88 nucleotides) under Porphyromonas crevioricanis. Its description in RNAcentral is "tRNA-Ser". It matches the Rfam family "tRNA". From Rfam's summary of the family: Transfer RNA (tRNA) molecules are approximately 80 nucleotides in length. Their secondary structure includes four short double-helical elements and three loops (D, anti-codon, and T loops). RNAcentral also lists the same sequence under 1 other name. The record is from RNAcentral. Lineage: Bacteria; Pseudomonadati; Bacteroidota; Bacteroidia; Bacteroidales; Porphyromonadaceae.